GCUGCAGCGCAAUUCCUUCAUUUCCUCUUUGAAGGCAUGUCAAGCAAUUCUCGGUUCUCAUCCAGCCAGACGAGGCAUUGUCGAAGUCUGAAAGCUUACUCAAUGGGUAUUGAAUCUGUGGAUGAAAGAUUUAAUUAGUUUCGAGAAAGCAAAAGGAAGUUUAAGCAAUGCGGGAUGGAACAAAUGCGAAGUCCGUCUUCCCAAAACAAUCAAUCGUAUUUUGUAUUUGGGAUUUUGUUGCUUGAAUACGUCUUUCGCUUACCGUUGAAAUUUGGAAUGGGGUUGAACUUGCUUGGGUUUGAAGUGGGGAGAAUCAAGGGUGUUCCAUUGAAGCAACGCAAGCACAGAGUGUGGAUUGGAUCAAUCCCAUUAAUGCGAUGAAGUUACACCAGCGGAUUAGGAAAGUAAUUUUCACGAAGCAAUAUAAUUUAUACUCUCAAAUAGGCCCUCAAGUUCUUGGGAUGUAAUUUAUUUGCCUACAUUUGUUGGUUUCCUCUCAUGGCAUCAGUUUUAUCUAGUGUACGUCUCUCCAAAAAAAUUAGGAAGAACUGCUUCCUUCUUGGCCAUUUUUUGUACAAGAUAUCAAAAUGAAUGCAAAAUUUCUAUGCUGAAAAUUGCUUGGUAGAAAGCUGUUACUCCAGCCCACCUUGAAGGAACAUUUACAAAAUUAAGGGCAGAAAGUGAUCACGUAACGUGAAACCUUACAUUUACGAAGGCUGGAAGGGUCGUCAAAAGCAUAGGUGUAAGCCUUGGGGCACAUAGCUUUGAAUAAAUGAGCAAAUAGCGUCGGCCUGCAGGUUUUGGGG
This is a non-coding RNA of Benincasa hispida (wax gourd), 806 nucleotides long. NCBI's taxonomy places the organism in Eukaryota, Viridiplantae, Streptophyta, Magnoliopsida, Cucurbitales, Cucurbitaceae. The record is from RefSeq and is a predicted model, not a curated record.